CGCGUAGGUGGUAGUGCAAGUCUGGGGUGGAAUCCCAGGGCUUAACCCUGGAACUGCCUUGGAAACUGUAUUACUUGAGUCAGUGAGGGGAGGGUAGAAUUCCUGGUGUAGCGGUGAAAUGCGUAGAUAUCAGGAGGAAGGCCUGUGGCGAAGGCGGCCCUCUGGCGCUGAACUGACACUGAGGCGCGAAAGCGUGGGGAGCAAACAGGAUUAGAUACCCUGGUAGUCCACGCCCUAAACGGUGGGUACUAGGUGUAGGGCUCGUAAGGGUUCUGUGCCGAAGCGAAAGCAUUAAGUACCCCGCCGGGGGAGUACGGCCGCAAGGUUGAA
This 330-nucleotide ribosomal RNA is filed under the name uncultured bacterium. RNAcentral's name for it is "bacterial SSU rRNA". It matches the Rfam family "Bacterial small subunit ribosomal RNA", at positions 568 to 898 of the family's 1533-position model. The record is from RNAcentral.